Molecule: long non-coding RNA, 230 nt
Organism: Cotesia glomerata
Lineage: Eukaryota; Metazoa; Arthropoda; Insecta; Hymenoptera; Braconidae
Exons: 3
Source: RefSeq, a predicted model, not a curated record
AAUAAAUAUCUAUUGAACCGGUGACGUUAGCCGAGUCGUCUAAGGCGCAUGGCCUAUAGAGCACUCGGACUAGCAUACCGGCCAGGCGUGGGUUCGAAUCCCAAGCUGGUCUUAGAAACCAGCUUGCUUGAGAUUCGACCCUUGCCGCGUAGGUCAAGAUUUUUACAGCCCAAAAAGACCCCAAUGUACCACUCCCGACAGUUAAAGUCGACUAUAUGACCACAGCGGUU